This is a long non-coding RNA of Xenopus laevis (African clawed frog), 951 nucleotides long. RefSeq lists it as uncharacterized. The transcript is spliced from 2 exons. The record is from RefSeq and is a predicted model, not a curated record. Lineage: Eukaryota; Metazoa; Chordata; Amphibia; Anura; Pipidae.
GUAGAAUAUCAUCCAAAAGGACAGCAAUUGUUCUCUUCAAGUCAGCUAUGAAGAAAAAGAAGCGAAAUAAGGCAUUAGAAGAACAGACAAUAUGGAACGAAAAAAUGAAACCACAUGGACAAAUUAAAUUGCUACAGGUAGGACUACACGAACGAUUUUGGCACGAUCCGACGCGCUGCGACAAAACUCGUGACAAAAAUAAGGUAAGAGAUAGAAUUGUUGCAUGGUGUCGCAACGCUGAUACGAAGCGACACGACUGUUGGAUCUCUUAAUGACCUCUACCCUAUCCAGUAGUUGUGUGACACAUAUAACAGCUGUGAUUACACAGAGCUCAUUAUCUCUUAAUUAAACAAACUCGCCUGAUUACAGAGGCAACAAUGGAAGGUAGAACGGGUAACACAUCAAUGACCUUUUGCGCGUUAAAAUAGAAAAUAUGAAUUAUUUAACUAAAUCCACCCAUGUUUUUGUUUGCAUAAUGAUACAAAAUGUAAUUAAAAGCAUUUUGUCAAUAUACAAUAAUUGAUUUUAAGGCUAUUUGUAAUUGCAUUAGAAAGAAAUAUGUUUAUCCUUUUCUCUUCUUUAGUUCUAUCUCUUGAAACAAUAUAGCAGAGGUAAGUUCUCCUCCAGGUCUUAUAACAGAUACUACUUCCAAGAACCAUUACGUUUGCAAACAGCUGGAAAAGAGAUGAAAUGUUUUCAAUAAAUAUACAAGUAUAUUGGAACUUUGCUUAGAUUUGCAGUUUCUAAACACUAACAAUUUAAUAACUAUAAUAAUUACAUCACUGUAUACAUGAGAAAUACGAAUAGGUUUGCUUUAUAGCUUACCAUAUCCUGCCAUGGAGCCUCCAUUUCCACCAACGCAAGCCCAUCUACAGGUCCGACCUCCCCACCCCACAGUAAAAAAAAUUAUUGGUGGCUAGGGUUCCCACAUGUUAAUAAAAAAUAAAAAGA